Molecule: ribosomal RNA, 297 nt
Filed under: uncultured Pseudomonadota bacterium
Lineage: Bacteria; Pseudomonadati; Pseudomonadota
Description: uncultured proteobacterium partial 16S ribosomal RNA
Rfam family: Bacterial small subunit ribosomal RNA
Source: RNAcentral
AACGAACGCUGGCGGCAGGCUUAACACAUGCAAGUCGAACGGAUGUAGCAAUACAUCAGUGGCGCACGGGUGAGUAACACGUGGAUAUCUGCCUUUUGGUUCGGAAUAACCCUGGGAAACUAGGGCUAAUACCGGAUGGUUCCUACGGGAUAAAGAUUUAUCGCCAAAAGAUGAGUCCGCGUCCGAUUAGCUAGUUGGUGAGGUAAUGGCUCACCAAGGCGACGAUCGGUAGCUGGUCUGAGAGGACGAUCAGCCACACUGGGACUGAGACACGGCCCAGACACCUACGGGAGGCAG